Molecule: unclassified non-coding RNA, 266 nt
Filed under: air metagenome
Description: partial contains small subunit ribosomal RNA, internal transcribed spacer 1, and 5.8S ribosomal RNA
Rfam family: Eukaryotic small subunit ribosomal RNA (bases 1-46)
Source: RNAcentral
AAGUCGUAACAAGGUUUCCGUAGGUGAACCUGCGGAAGGAUCAUUACCGAGUAAGGGUCCCUCUGGGGCCCGACCUCCUACCCUCUGUCUACCUGACCUCUUGUUGCUUCGGCGGAUCCGUCCCUUCGGGGACCGCCGGAGAGUGCGUCAAACCGCUCUCUGGCCCGCGUCCGUCGAUGGCCUCUACAAAACUCUUGCUAAAAACGUGUCGACUGAGUCUUAAACAAAAUAAUUAAAAACUUUCAACAACGGAUCUCUUGGUUCUG